Phascolarctos cinereus (koala) is the source of this 2373-nucleotide non-coding RNA. Lineage: Eukaryota; Metazoa; Chordata; Mammalia; Diprotodontia; Phascolarctidae. The record is from RefSeq and is a predicted model, not a curated record.
GGGCUGGGGAGCUCAGCCCAAGGACUGGCACUUCAGAGAGGGCUUGGAAUGAGAGAAGGAAGAAGGCAAUCCAGGGCCAAUAGGGUGUAGGGUCAAGAGAUCCAGCCUCAAAAGAGAAGGCCCGGGUUCAAAUUCUAUUGCUGAUGUAUCCUGGCUGACUAUGUGGCCCUAGGUGUCUAUGAUGAGGGUAAGGGAGAGAUCCAGAGAAAAUACUCUAGGAAAAAUUGAUGAAGAGAUCACUUUCAAGCAGAGGCAAAUCAGAGGAAAUGGUAUCUCAACCUUGAAGGAAGAGAAACAUUUUGCCAGGCAGAAAUGAAAAGUAAAUGUAUUCCAGACAUUUAAUAUGACCUGCAGAAUUCAUAGAGGUAAGAAAUGGCAUGCUGAGCAUGAAGGUCAGCUAGUAGUUCAACUUACCUAGAACAAAGAGUGUACGAUGGGUGAGUUCUCUCUUUUGUGUUUCUGUCUGGCAAGUGACAGCUUGAUGCACACAAGAUGCAAAUUGGUCUGCUUACUAAAGAAGAGUUGAAAAAAAACCUGGAGAAAUGUUUCAAAUAAAAUAAGACACAACCUAACCAGGGAAGAGGAGAAUCACAAACUUAUCAGCAGCAUGGAGGGGAAGAACAUGACAGGGGAGAGAGGACAAUAAGGACCACUAAACCUUACGAAUUAUGAAAGCUCUUCUAAUAGAGUAGAAGAGUUGAAUCCUAUAAGGAAGAAGUAGCUUUUUGCAUUCCAAAGAAGAAUGAGCAUCCACAUGUGCUAAAAGGCAAGGAGCUGUCUAGUAAAAGAGGGAGAGAGGACUUGUGAUUGGUAAUUGAGAGAUACUGAGAUAGCCAUAGGUGAAACUGCCAUGAAUAAGGUGGUGUAUUGUGUACUUCAGGUGUGUAUGAAGGAUGAGAUGGAAGAUCUUCUCAGAGUUGAUGAUCAUUACCCAUUGCUGGGGAUUCUACCCCAACCUAGAACCUAGACAGCUCUACUAACGAUUUUGAAGUAAUAAGCAAGAAACUGAAGACCAUAUUUAACAUUUUCAUUUACUGCUGCCAGCUGAAAGCAGAGGUUUCAGAAGAUUUGAGAAGUGGCUAAAAAUGCAGAAUCUGACAAUAUUUGGGCCACAGCUCAAAAUAAAGCUCUUGGGCAGAGAUGGAGUAUGUCUAAUAAGAAAAGUGAGGUCACAUGUAGUGACCUCCCCAUUCUCCCCUCAUUUCAAAACCUUUGGUAUUUUCUCCCAUUCUGUUCCGAGAAAUGAAAUGACCAUCUGUUAUCAAAUAGUCUUUUAUUAUCACAAUCUCUCUGUGGUUCUUAACCAGCUGGACAUUCCACAGUACCACUACUGAUGUCAUCAAUGACAUCAUGACAAUGACUACCAUUGCAUCCCACAGACCAGGUUGGCCUAUGGGACUCUGAUGAUUCCAGAGAGAUCUCUUUGCUAUGGAUGACUGCUUUUUCCCUUGAGCAAUGUCGAUAAUCUCAUUAAGGACAGCAUUUUUCUACUUCUUUCUCUCAGGGAAGUUCUUUCAGGGACUUGAUGACCGAGGCUGAUGCAUAAGACACAAUACUCAAUCUGGACCUGUCUGUUCCCAAUGGUGUUUCACAGAGUUCCUUACCCAUUUCUAGUCACCACUUGCCUUAUGGUGAUAUGAUCACUAACCUUUUUUGUAGACAGGCCCAGGGGACCAAUUUUGGGAGCCAGAGUAGAUAUAGCACCAACUUCACCAGGGCAACUCAAUUACACUUUAAUCUUAUUUAGAGCUGAACUUGGGCAAUGUGUUGGUGAUGGAAGUGGAGGCAUAGUCUGGGUGUUGCAGGAUGGUUGCCAGUGUCUGAUGAACUCAGAUUUUCACCACCAAAAGAAGUUCACCACCCAUGAGUUAGAAGUCAAGGAGAGGUACACUGCAUAUUAAAUACAUUCAUAUGUAUGAAUCCACAGACUACAAGGUCAUGGGGAAAGCAAAGCUGCAGAAAACACUUGAUAAUCAAUGGAAGGAGCAACAGAAGCAAUGUUAUUGUGGGAAUAUGCCACAGACCAAACUGGUAGGAUGUAGAAGCAACUCACAAACCUAGCUCAAAGAGAGACUAUGAGGUGAUGGGGAAUGUCAAUUAUGGAGGCAUUUCCUGUAGCAUACCUAUUCCUGAACAACAAAGGAUGAGAAAAAAAAAUGUGUGGGCCUGAAGGGCAAUUUUAUUUGUUGAAGAUGGAAGAAGCAAUGAAGGGAAGUUCCCUAUUCUAGAUAUUCUUUCAUAACCUGGUCCCAACCUACCUUUUCCAACUUUUGUUAUUCCAUUGUAUCAGUCGUGUCCAACUGGAGUAAUUUGGAAUGGUCUGCUAUUUCCUUCUCCAGCUUAUUUUACAGAUGAGGGAACUAAGGCAAACAA